AGUUCGAUUCUGGCUCAGAUUGAACGCUGGCGGGAUGCUUUACACAUGCAAGUCGAACGGCAGCACGGACUUCGGUCUGGUGGCGAGUAGCGAACAGGUGAGUAAUAUCGGAACGUGCCUAGUAGCGGGGGAUAACUACGCGAAAGCGAUAACUAAUACCACAUACGCCCUUCGGGGAAAGCGGGGGACCUUCGGGCCUCGCACUAUUAGAGCAGCCGAUAUCGGAUUAGCUAGUUGGUGAA
RNAcentral lists this unclassified non-coding RNA (242 nucleotides) under uncultured Bordetella sp. RNAcentral describes it as "partial 16S-23S ribosomal RNA intergenic spacer". It matches the Rfam family "Bacterial small subunit ribosomal RNA", at positions 10 to 256 of the family's 1533-position model. Lineage: Bacteria; Pseudomonadati; Pseudomonadota; Betaproteobacteria; Burkholderiales; Alcaligenaceae. The record is from RNAcentral.